This 2438-nucleotide long non-coding RNA is filed under the name Marmota monax (woodchuck). Lineage: Eukaryota; Metazoa; Chordata; Mammalia; Rodentia; Sciuridae. The record is from RNAcentral.
GGGAGGGUUACCAUGGUAACUGGGGGUCGCUGCGUGGUCUAGCCUCUCUGGCCAGGCAGGCUGCCCACAAUGGUUGGCCCAUUUACAAGCGUCCUGUUGCCCCUCCACUCCCGAAGUUGACCUCGCAAUGCCUGUUCGCCACCGCUUACCCAUGAGGGCACCCUGUAUCCUCUCCACAAUAGAAACAUCCUACAGUCUCUGCUUCCACCCAUCCCAGGACAGGUUCUAAGAAAAGCCUAAAAGACUUUCUGGGUCUCAUCUUUCAAAGAGUUUUCCACUACAGCUUCCUACCAAAAUUUGCUCAGGUAGGUUCUCUCCAUUUCCUGGAAAUCAAUGAAGGAAACUAUUGGGGUGGAAGAGACAGACAAGUUGAUCAAGUCCUCAUUCUAUUUAGCAUCAAUUGUUAACUUAAAUAUUCUAUUUACAAUACCAAUGUUUCCCCUAUUUGAGAGUCAGCAUGCACCAUUAACCUGGGCGUGAUGGCCCAGACCUGUAAAAUCCCAGCAACGAGGCAGGAGGAUCCCAAGUUUGAGGCCUGCCUGGGCAACCUAAAGAGAUCCUGUAUUAAAAUUUAAAAAAUAACAAUUGUAAAGCACCCCUGGGUUCAAUCCCCAAUAUCCCCCUUUACCCCCACCUUGCAAAAUAUAUAUAUAUAUACCAUUAAUUGACUUACCAGCCCCUUCAAGUUUUGGAAUGACUCAGGACUUGGUAAUUUAAUGAUCACUUACAGUCCUUUCUGCAGAUAUGCCCCCAUUCUAUCAGGAAGGAAUUCUUAUUGCAGAUUCCUGUCACUAGAUCCUUUGUGCAACAGCAAGAUAGAGGUGCCUGGAAAACUACUGUGGUAUUGAACCUCCAUUCUAUAAUGACUUUCACCAAUUUCACUGCCUCUACUGCAUGAGGUAUCCCAAGGAACUAGAUCCUGCUCCUACAGGCACUGCUAUGCAGGAUUUCUGGAAAUACAAUAAUAAGCUUGAGCCAGGCUCUAUGGCAAACCAUUGUAAACCCAGCAACUGGGGAGGUUGAGGCAGGAGGAUCACAAGUUUGAGGGCAGCCUGGGCAACUUAGAGAAACCAGUCUCAAAGAAGCUAAAAAGGGAUGGGGAAACCAGGAUUGGUGGCACAUGCCUGAAAUCCCAGCAGCUUGGGAGACUAAGACGGGAGGAUUUAGAGUUCACAGCCAGCCUCAGCAACUUGGAGGGAACUAAGCAACCCAGUGAGACCCUGCCUGUAAAUAAAAUACAAAACAGGGCUGGGGAUGUGGCUCAGUGGUAAGUGCCCCUGGGUUUAACCUCCAAUACCAAAAGAAAAAAGGUAGAAAAAAAGAGAAAGACUUGAGGUAUAUUUUUCUUCCCUUGCUGGUACUGGGAAUCAAAACCAGAGUCUUCACACACUAGACAAACGCUUUAUCACUGAGUUACAUCCCCAGCCCAGCCAGACUUGAAAAUUUUAUUUUCCCCUCUAUUUCUUUGUAUUCCUUCAUCCUUCUCAGUAAGUAAUAAUGAUAAAUUUCUCCUCUGGUGCAGCUCUUUUCCCCUACAGAAUUAGCAUAUAGAAUAGGACUUAGAAUCAAGAAUCCUAACCCUUAAAAGUGUUGGAAAGACAAUUGUAGUGUAAUAUCUGGGUCUGAUUCUAAGGAUGCCCCCUCCAGAGAAUCUGCCUUCCUCUCUCUUUUUGAAAUACUAAAUAAUGACCUUAUUCAGAAGAAAAAAACUUGGACCAACAAUAAAUUUUCUUGGUAGGGUACUUUGAUUUCUCCCACAGUAACUGCAAAGGAAGAGCAGGGUUCUGACUCUACACUUGAUGGCCUAAUUUUUCCAGCUGGCUUUAAAGAAAUCUCAUCCCAAGGUGGAAGUGAGAUUUCCUUAUCUGGACACUGAUCAGCAGGGGGCACUAUUGCACCUCUCUGGGCCCCAGUGAAGAAGCUGAAGCCCUUGUCCUAGACAACCCAAAGGGGUGUUGAGAGCACCACUGCGUUCCUGAGGCUGGUGGACUUGAACAGAUAAUCUCCUCUUGAUCCAGGGAAACAGAUGGGCUGACUCCUGAUAGCCUUUAAGAACAUGAUGGAUAGGCAGCAAGGGGCCCAGUGCUAUUGUUUUCCUGGUGACAAACAAUAUAAUAUAUCAACAAGUUUAUAUGUCCAGGUCUGUUCCUUCUCCCCCCAUCUCUCCCAAUGCCUAUUCCUAAAAAAGGGUGUUAUGACUCUUGUGUCCUAACCAUUGUACUCCUCUUACCUGUUUCUCCCUAAACAGCUUCUGAUUUCAUCUCAGAUUAAGAGGGCCUUAGGCAUGGUUGCACAACAGUGUAAAUGUAUAUGUAGUGUCGCUGUGUACUUAAAAGAUGGUUAAAGUGGCAAAUUUUAUGUAUUUAUAUUUUGGCACAAUUUUUAAAACAAUAUUAGACAAUCUUGGAGAAGUACAAAAAAUAAAGUUUGGAUUGACC